This is a non-coding RNA of Felis catus (domestic cat), 85 nucleotides long. The record is from Rfam. Lineage: Eukaryota; Metazoa; Chordata; Mammalia; Carnivora; Felidae.
GCCUGGGUGGUUUAGUCGGUUAAGUGUCUGACUUCAGCUCAGGUCAUGAUCUCAUGGUUCGUGGGUUUGAGCCCCGCGUCGGGCU